This 497-nucleotide ribosomal RNA is filed under the name uncultured bacterium. RNAcentral describes it as "partial 16S ribosomal RNA". It matches the Rfam family "Bacterial small subunit ribosomal RNA", at positions 28 to 507 of the family's 1533-position model. The record is from RNAcentral.
GAUGAACGCUGGCGGCGUGCCUAAUACAUGCAAGUAGAACGCUGAAGGAAGGAGCUUGCUCUUUCCGGAUGAGUUGCGAACGGGUGAGUAGCGCGUAGGUAACCUGCCUGGUAGCGGGGGAUAACUAUUGGAAACGAUAGCUAAUACCGCAUAACAGUAGAUGUUGCAUGAUAUCUACUUAAAAGGUGCAAUUGCACCACUACCAGAUGGACCUGCGUUGUAUUAGCUAGUUGGUGAGGUAACGGCUCACCAAGGCGACGAUACAUAGCCGACCUGAGAGGGUGAUCGGCCACACUGGGACUGAGACACGGCCCAGACUCCUACGGGAGGCAGCAGUAGGGAAUCUUCGGCAAUGGACGGAAGUCUGACCGAGCAACGCCGCGUGAGUGAAGAAGGUUUUCGGAUCGUAAAGCUCUGUUGUAAGAGAAGAACGAGUGUGAGAGUGGAAAGUUCACACUGUGACGGUAUCUUACCAGAAAGGGACGGCUAACUACGUG